RNAcentral lists this ribosomal RNA (425 nucleotides) under uncultured eukaryote. Its description in RNAcentral is "SSU rRNA". It matches the Rfam family "Eukaryotic small subunit ribosomal RNA", at positions 567 to 990 of the family's 1831-position model. The record is from RNAcentral.
CCAGCACCUGCGGUAAUUCCAGCUCCAAUAGCGUAUAUUAAAGUUGUUGCAGUUAAAACGCUCGUAGUUGAAAUCCGGGUCGUAUCGUACCUGCGGGUCAAUGACUUUAGCGGGUGUGAGCGGCCAAUCUCUUCCGGAGAGGUCCCUGUCGCCUUCAAAAGCGGUGGGGAGCCACUUCUCCGGACGUUUACUUUGAAAAAAUUAGAGUGUUAAAAGCAGGCGUUUCGCUGUGAAUACAUUAGCAUGGAAUAAUGGAACAGGACUUUGGUCGUGUUUUGUUGGUUUUAAUGGCCGAAGUAAUGAUUAAUAGGGAUAGUUGGGGGCAUUCGUAUUUCGUUGUCAGAGGUGAAAUUCUUGGAUUUACGAAAGACGAACUACUGCGAAAGCAUCUGCCAAGGAUGUUUUCAUCAAUCAAGAACGAAAGU